This 305-nucleotide ribosomal RNA is filed under the name uncultured bacterium. RNAcentral's name for it is "bacterial SSU rRNA". It matches the Rfam family "Bacterial small subunit ribosomal RNA", at positions 335 to 633 of the family's 1533-position model. The record is from RNAcentral.
UGCCUACGGGACUCCUCAUUCUUUCCUCUUCCCCACUUUUCUAAAGCCUUAUGGAGCAACGCCGCGUGGGUGAAGAAGGUCUUCGGAUCGUAAAACCCUGUUGUUAGAGAAGAAAGUGCGUGAGAGUAACUGUUCACGUUUCGACGGUAUCUAACCAGAAAGCCACGGCUAACUACGUGCCAGCAGCCGCGGUAAUACGUAGGUGGCAAGCGUUAUCCGGAUUUAUUGGGCGUAAAGGGAACGCAGGCGGUCUUUUAAGUCUGAUGUGAAAGCCUUCGGCUUAACCGGAGUAGUGCAUUGGAAAC